Long non-coding RNA from Felis catus (domestic cat), 3897 nucleotides. RefSeq lists it as uncharacterized. The transcript is spliced from 3 exons. The record is from RefSeq and is a predicted model, not a curated record. Lineage: Eukaryota; Metazoa; Chordata; Mammalia; Carnivora; Felidae.
CCCGGGGAGGGGGCGGGGCCGAGGGGGCGCGGCUCCCGGCGGCCCCCGGGGCUGCGGGGUCUCGGCUGCAGGGCGGUCCACGUUCCCGGCCGAAUUCACCCCGUCUGCUCCCCCCGCCCUUGCCUCUUUCUGCAUCCUCACCCUGCCCAGGUGUCCCCCAUCUGAGCGCGCGGGAACCCGAAGAAAAGACUGAGCCACGUUAAGGCGAGGGUUGGCAGAGGCCUUUGGGCCUCCCGGGACCCCUCUAAACACAAAAACAAUUCAUCUCCCCCCUCGUUCGCAAGCUCGGGGCUCCUGGGAAGGACCAUCCUUUGCCUGGAGACAAUGUCUGGACAGAUUUGGGUUCAAAUCCCAGCAUCUCAUGCCUUGGGGGAGCCCCACGUCCAAAGAGCGCCUCAUCUGUGAAGUGGGAUUUACCCUACCCACCCCUCGGUGUUGAUGAAAUUGAGACCGUGCGUGCCAAGUGUUGAGAACACAGUAAGCGCUUAAUAAACGUUAGCGGCUGUCAUGCUUAAUGUUAUUGCCGUUGUUACAACUGACUCGCCGUGGGCCCGAAGGAUCCUGCGGUUGCUGAGCCUCAAUCUUCCCCGCUGUAAAAUGUAGACCGUACUCUUCUUCAGAGCUGUUGCAUGCAGGUGGCGUUCCAUAAAUGCAGCAGGCCCGUGCCCAAGCGGAGGAGAGUGGAGGUCUCUUCGGAGCUUCUCCAGGGUCUCUGGAGUCUCUAGAGCGCGCAGCUUGGCUCGAGGCCGACCCCGCACUCCCUUGGAAACCCGGAUGUCAGCUCCCCAAGGAUCAUUGUCUGUCUUGUCCUCUGCUGAGUCCCUGGCUCCUACAACAGUGUCUAGCGUGUGGAAAGGGCUCAGUAAGUAGCUGCUGGGUGAACAGAUGGUUGAACAAACAGAGCAUGAUGGGGUAUGGCUGGAGUUUUUCGUGCUGACGAACCUGAAGUGGGGGGCAGUCUCCAGAUGCUGCAGAUGGUGGGGAUGGAGGGGUUCCAGCACGUCUCUGGAGUUCAAGCUUGACCCUGAGGAUUGUGGGAGCGACUGACGGAUUCUUAGCAGGGGAGGGACUAAGGAUCGUUUCUCAAAAGAUAAGGCUCUUUGCAAACCAAGUCUCCUCCAGCAGGGGCCAGAAAAAGAGAGGGGAGUAGAUUCAUCUGGCACCAGAAAGAAUAAACGUAUCAACAAGGCUAAACUCAAAAAACCAUUGGGUUGGAGGGGGAAUUAAAAAAAAAAAAAAAGCAAACAGAAAAAAAAUGAUACAAUUUGAUAGUGCUUAUAUCCAUUACUGAAGAACAGAAAGUGAAACUAUGUAUCAAGUUUAUAACAAACAUAGGGGCUAGUGUCCUGUGGUGUGCCAGGCAUCCUGGCUCAGGUGAGUGAGGCUACCUGGGCUCAAAUCCUGGCAGUGCCCCAGACCAACAGUAAAAUUCUGAGCAAGUGACUUCACUGCCCUGUGCUUCAGUUUCUUCGUCUGUAGAAGGGGAUGAUAAUCCACGCAGCCUCCUAGGGUUACUGGGAAGCUUAAAUGAGUCCAUUCUUUUGUUUUUUUUAGUGUUCACUUAUUUUCCAGAGACAGCGAUUAGGGGAGGGGCAGAGAGAGAGGGAGACAGAGAAUCCCAAGCAGGCUCUGCAGCUGUCAGCGCAGAGCCCAACAUGGGUCUGAAACUCACAAACCGAACUGCGAGAUCCGGGACCUGAGCGGAAGGAAGUCAGGCGCUUAACUGACGGAGCCACCCUGGUGCCCCAAGUUAAUUCUUGUAAAGCACAGAGCAAGGGGUCGGUAAUUGUUCAGUAUCUUUUUUUUUUUAGGUUGUUGUUUCUGUAGCGGGGGAGGGGAGUGAACGUGGGAAGGUGAACACACGUGACCUCCAUUUUAACUAUGAGGUACUCCCGGCUGCCCAAGACCACCCCACCAUCACCCCAAAACUGCACCAUCUGGCGCCCGAACGUGGGGCCUCGAUCUUUUCAUUUUCAUCUGGACUCUGUGCUUCGGGGCAAAUUUGGUGAGUAUGCUUUCUCCUUCCUCCUUGACUCUCAUCUCAGGGGCUUUUUUUGAGAAGCGUGGCCUUAUUGGGACACUUUCCUGUGGGUUGCUCAGGCUGCCAUCCUCUAGCCCGUGGCCACUCUACCAGGAGGAGAAAGCCUGCCUUUUGGCUGGAUGUUAGGACCUUGGCCACGAUGGUAGUAAGAUCCAGAAACUCGAUGCCCUGUCUUUAUUCCUGUCCUUACACAAAGUUGUCCGUGUCGGGCAGGGGGCAGCCACCUAAGUGACUAGCACGGCUUCCCAUCUUAAGACUCCCGUGUGAAAUUUCCCCUUCGUUGGUCUGAGUCAAUCCCCUCCACAUCUCUGGUCUAGCCCCUUCUGGCCACAGGACCUCCACUGGGGGCCGGCUGAAGCCAGUACCCGAUUGAAUUAAAACCCAACUGGGGACCAUUUCCUAGGAAGCUGGAUGUCAGGACUACAUAUGUUGGAAUGUCGCUCAGAUCAUGAUAUUUCUGUCUUUACGGUUUUCGGUCAAUGUCCUCUACUAACCACUUAAAUCACAAAAUUGGGUAACUCCCCCUUGUAAAACUUUGCUAGUGUUUUCCAUGGGUUAAAAACGGCAAGUUCUUCAAGAAACUAAAGCAUGGCCUUCACGGCAUGCUCUUCAAAGUCUGGGUAAACCAAGGCACGGCCUUUUAUGGCGUGGUUUUCAAGGUACAGUAUUUCGGUCCAUACACCUGGCCCCCGUUUGUAGCCGAGGAUGCAAUGCGGAAGCGGAGGGACACGGGCAUCCCUUCUACAGGGGCCCUUUAUGGCACCUUCCUUGGGCAGACCUGCCUCCAAGUAGUAAGGUAGUAGGAAGACGCCUCGGGUCACUUUGACAGCUCGGGAACCUCUGACAUAGCCUGUGCGGGGGACCCCACCCAGGAGUCGGGGGCGGGAUUUUCGUGGUGCUAAACCCUCUCUACUCUUCUCUCUCUGGGAGGAGCUUGGAACUUCUCUUCAGUCCCCAAGGACUCUCCCUUGGGAUGCCUUUUUAACCCGCUGGAGACAAUUCGCAUUACAAAGUUCAGGAAAGGACUGACCUCCUGAAACAGCGCUAGCAGAUCUCUUCUGCAGAAAACAGGGCGAUAGGGCGGAGGUACCCCACCUAGGCCCAGGCCUUCACGGCUCUAAAUCAGGAUCUUAAGGACUUAAGAGCCUCUUGCAGAAUGCGUUUGCCCAGAUGUGUUUGGCUAGUAAACUCCCUCCUGACAAAAAUGUCUAAACAGUCCUCCUCCUGGUAGAACUCGGUCGCUGGAGGAAACACAGGCCAUCCUCGACAAAGGGGACGCUGGCUUUUUCUGGCUGUUCCUCCUAAUCGAUCUGAGGGCCUCUCCCUCAUUCAUUUCCCGGGUUAAUGGCUAUGAUAAUCGGAGCCAACUGUGGCUUAGUCUGCCUCAGGACGGGGACUUUAAGGAAUAUUCCCAAGCAGCUGCCCAAACGCCCUUUGCUUGGGGGAAAGUUUCCUGUCUUCGCCGGCCUGACAUGGACUCCAUAUUUCCACAAGCUGCAGGGUUGAGAACCGGGAGUCCUCUUUUCUCUGCCUCCUGCUGUCACCUGGCCUGCCUCUCCUGCCUCCCCCUCCCCCUCUGGUUUCUACACCACUUUGGGUUCCGCCUCCAUCACUGGUUUCUGUACCCUCCCCGCUGUCUCAGGCACUAUUUGCUCCUUCUCCCACUGUCUGUGUCAAGGAGCAAAGGGCACCCCCUUAGACUGCCCACUUCAGGCUCCCUGCUGGCAUCCCAGGUAAAAACUAAUAAUGGGGAACAAAUUGAUUGACUUUUUAAAAACGUUUUUUAUUUAUUUUUGAGGGAGAGAGACAGAGAUGAGUGGGGGAGGAGCAGAGAGAGAGGGAGACACAGAAUCGGA